This 4298-nucleotide long non-coding RNA is filed under the name Homo sapiens (human). RNAcentral's name for it is "uncharacterized LOC105374748, transcript variant 4 (LOC105374748)". Lineage: Eukaryota; Metazoa; Chordata; Mammalia; Primates; Hominidae. The record is from RNAcentral.
AGUUUUCCGGUGGCGGCGGCGCUAGUUGGUCUGCACGAAACGUUUCCCUUCUCGCUCCGUGUGUCCCAUUCUCCAUCCCACGUCCUCCAGUGCCGGGGUCAUGGUCGCAGCACCCGGCGUUCCCGUUGGCUCUUUUGCCGCUGCGCGGAGCCGGCGGUUUUUCUGUCACAGCACUUGUACGGAGUUUCUCGGCGGCCGAACGUCUCUUUUUUUCUCAGAGACGACGGUUUCUUGGUGACAGUACCGUUGGUUGCGCCGUAACGAAUGUUCUCCUUGACAGCCCCACCAGCUGGCGUCACUCGCAGGCUCCAGACGCCGCCAUUUCGCCAAGCCGAGGUCUCUUGGUUGCGGCACUGCUUCUGGCUCGGUGCCUGUAUUUUCUCGGUGCCUACAGCGCCCAGGUCGCCGAUCUGAGGGCUUCGGAGUACCGGCCGGGCGCGGUGGCUCACGCCUGUAAUCCCAGCACUUUGGGAGGCCGAGGCGGGCGGAUCAGGAGGUCAGGAGAUCGAGACCAUCCUGGCUAACACGGAAAUGUAGACUUAGGUGUAACAUGUACCGGUUUAGAUCUGACAGAGAUAUCACAAUUGUAGGAUUGCAUCUUUUAGCAAGGGCUUUGACUCCUGAGUCUAAAAAGGUCACUAACUCCCGCUAAAUUGAGAGCAAUUGAAGCCUCAUCUUCAGAUCUAGGAGAAGAUGAAAAUCAGAAUAAGCUGCAGUCAUGAGACAUGGCGCCAGAAAUUAAGACUAUUCAAACCCUCUAGUCCCAGGGACUAUUGAAGAAGAAGUGGGUGUGUAAGCUUAUAAGGUCUAGAUCUGUCACCCAGGCUGGAGUACAGUGGCAUAGUCCUAGCUCACUGCAACCUCCACCUCCCAGGCUCAAGUGAUCCUACCACCUCAGCCUCCUAAGAAGCUGGGACUAUAGAUGUGCACCAACACGCAUGGCUAAUUUUUGUAUUUUUUGUAGACACCGUGUUUCGCCAUGUUGCCCAGGCUGGUCUCAAACUCCUGAGCUCAAGCAGUCUGCCUGCCUAGACCGCCCAAAGUGCUGAGUUUACAGGUGCGAGCCACCACAGCCAGCCUAUAAAGUAAACGUGAAUAUCUAAGGAACACUGAUGCAAGACCAGCAUGUGGGACCCCAUGUAAGAUUAACAAUGUUUUCAUGGAUCAUUAACCCAUUCUUAUUAAAAAAAUUAUGAAAGAUUAUGAAAAGGUUUACAAAAGUUGUAUCUUAUGGUCAAGAUGAUUAAAAUUUAUUAGAUUUGUCUAUAAUAUCUGAGAAAGAUUUGAUUGGCUUCAUGCUGUCUUUAUUAGCUCUUAUUGUUUGGGAAAGCAAGUCUCAAAGAGUGAAAGGUUUUGGCUUUUAGUUUUUGAAAACUUUGAGUUACUGCUUAACUAAAUGAAUGACUUAUUUUUUACAAUGACCUGUUGUGGGAAGUCAGGGACCCCAAACGGAGGGACCGGCUGAAGCCAUGAAAGAAGAACGUGGAUUAUGAAGAUUUUAUGGACAUUUAUUAGCUCCCCAAAUUAAUACUUUUGUAAUUUCUUAUGCCUGUCUUUACUGCAAUCUCUAAACAUAAAUUGUAAAGAUUUCAUGGACACUUAUCACUUCCCCAAUCAAUACCCUUGUGAUUUCCUAUGCCUGUCUUUACUUUAAUCUCUUAAUCUUGUCAGUUGAGGAGGAUGUAUAUCAUCUCAGGACCCUGUAAUAAUUGCGUUAAGUACACAAAUUGUACAGCAUGUGUGUUUGAGCAAUAUGAAAUGUGGGCACCCUGAAAAAAGAACAGGGUAACAGCAAUUGUUCAGGGAAUAAGAGAGAUAACCUUAAACUCUGACCGCCGGUGAGCCGGGCAGAACAGAGCCAUAUUUCUCUUCUUUCAAAAGCAAAUGGGAGAAAUAUCGCUGAAUUCCGUCCCUGAGAAAGAGAAUGCGCACCUAGGGGUAGGUCUCUGAACUGGCCGCCCCGGGGCGUACCUGUCUCUUAUGGUCGAGAUUGCAGAGGUGAAAUAAACUCCAGUUUCCCAUAGCGCUCCCAGGCUUAUUAGGAAGAGGAAAUUCCCGCCUAAUAAACUUUGGUCAGACCAGUUGAUCUCAAAACCCUGUCUCCUGAUAAGAUAAUAUCAGUGACAAUGGUGCCAAAACUUCAUUAGCAAUUUUAAUUUCGUUUCGGUCCUGUGGUCCUGUGAUCUCGCCCUGCCUCCACUUGCCUUGUGAUAUUCUAUUACCCUGUUAAGUACUUGAUGUCUGUCACCCACACCUAUUCGCACACUCCCUCCCCUUUUGAAAAUCCCUAAAAAAACCUGCUGGUUUCGGUGGCUUGUGGGGCAUCACAGAUCCUACCAAUGUGUGAUGUCUCCCCCGGACGCCCAGCUUUAAAAUUUCUCUCUUUUGUACUCUGUUCUUUUAUUUCUCAAGCCAGUCGACGCUUAGGAAAAUAGAAAAGAACCUACGUGAUUAUCGGCGCAGGUCCCCCGAUAACCUGUGAUCCUGUUUUGUGAUAUCAAGUGUUUUAAGUCUUUGAUGUUUGACAAACUUUCCAAAAUCCAAUUCUAAAUUCAGUCAUUUUCAUCUCAUUAGUUUUUUUGACAUUGAGUCCCCUGAAAUCCAAAGAGACAUAUUUGGCUUAGUUGGUAUAAUCACACAAGAAGUAUUAUCAAAUAUAAAAUGAUAUGUAACCAUCUUUGCAUUGUAUUUAUGUAAAUGUGUUAUUAGUGUUUUAAAAUUGUAUGAGAUUCUUCUGAUUGUGAUAUGUCUUAGUAUAUGUUUUCAGAACUAAUUAUGAUUAUUAUAUUCAAAUGUUAUAUAUCAUAGAUAUAACCACAUUUCUUUGUCAGUUGUGUCUUAAACCAUGGCUAUUGUAAGACUUUUGUCAUCUACAAUUAUUGUUUUACUUAGAUCCUUUCGUAGAGUGGUUUAUAAUCAGUUAUAGAGCUCUGAGACUACCCUUUUUGUUGUUGUUGUUGUUGAUGUUUGCUUUUUGAGACAGGGUCUCAAUCUGUCACCUAUACUGCAGUGUGGUGGCAUAAUCACUGCUCACUUCAGCCUUAAUCUCCUAGACUCAAGCAAUCCUCCCACCUAAGCCUACCAAGUAGCUGAGGCUACAGGCACGCACCAUACACUCAGAGAAUUUUAAAAAUUUUGUAGAGAUAGAGUCUCCCUCUGCUGCCCAGGCUGAUCUCAAACUCUUGGGCUCAAGCAAUCCUCCCACCUCAGCCUCCCAAAGUGCUGGGAUUACAGGCAUAAGCCACCACACCCAAGAUUUUAAUACAUUUAUCAUGUCUUCAUUAACAAAUACCAAGUGUCUAUAUUGUACUACAUAGUGAACAAGGUCCCAGAGAUAAGUAAUCAACAAGCAGACAUGGACUUGGCCAUAAAGUGUUUGACACCUUCAUGGAUUGUAAAAAAAAAAAAAAAGCAUGACAACAAAUAAAUAAAUAAAACCGUGUUUAUAUGAUAAAUGUUAUCAAGAAACUUAACGCAACUUAGUUGAAAAGGUAACUAGGAGGAUAUUAUAUUAGCUACUAUAGUAAGGAUAGAAUUGUCACAGAUACUUCCACUUCGAUAUGAGUAAUGCAAUGAACAACACCAAAAAACAAACAAACCAACCUAGGCUGGGUGCAGUGGCUCGCACUUGUACUCCUAGCACUUUGGGAGGCCAAGGCAGGCGGAUCACUUGAGGCAAGGAGUUCAAGACCAUCCUGGCGAACAUGGUGAAAUGCCAUCUCUACUAAAAAUAUAAGAAAAUUUGCUGGGCGUGGUGGCCCACACCUGUAAUCUCAAGUUACUCAGUAGGCUGAGGCGAGAGAAUCAUUUGAACCCGGGAGGCAGAGCUUGCAGUGAGCUGAGAACACACCACUGUACUCCAGCCUGGGCAACAGAGCAAGACCCUGUCUCAAAAAAAAAAAAAAAAAGGUGGAGUUACCAUCAUGAGAGAAUAUAAAGUACAAAGAUUCUAAGACUAGAAAACUUUAUUAUGGGCCGGGCAUAGUGGCUCAUGCCUGUAAUCCCAGCACUAUGGGAGGCUGAGGCAGGAGGAUCACUUGAGGCCAAAAACUCAAAACUAGCCCAGGCAACAUAGUAAAAUACCAUCUCUAGUAAAAAAAAAAAAAAAAAAAAAAUUAGCUGGAUGUGUUGGUGUCUGCUUGUAGUCCCAGCCACACAGGAGGCUGAGGCAACAUAAUUGUUUGAGCCCAGGAGUUCAAGGCUGAAGUGAGCUGUGAUGAUACCACUGCAUUCUAGCCUGAGCUACAGAGUGAAACCUUGCCUCCAAAAUAAAAAUAAACGUUUGUUACAGCCAUGGA